AUUGGCCGCAAUUAUCUGAUCUACACGCGCGGACUCGCCCACCACUGUGUGCUCCUCGCCGCUGCCCCCAUCGCCCUCCCCAUCACCGCACCGCCCCGCAUCGCAUCCCUAGCCACCACCGCGCCGCCCUGGCCCUCGUACUCACCACCGCGCCGCCCCACCACCACCGUGCGUUCCUUCCCGUCAUGCCGGCCGCUCCGUUGUGUCGUUCCCCGUCGGGCCGGCCACCCCGCUAGCUGCUCCCUGUCACAUCGAUCUGCUCGCGGUCGUGUCUUCUUGCCAAGGUCUGUCCACCCUUCUAGCACGUACAUGAAUUUUUCAGGCCCCUACACCAGUAGGUAAAUCGACAACCACCGAGUGCUCCCUCUGAUUGAUGCUUGAGGUUGAUUUGGAACAUCUUCAGUAAUUGCAAUAUUCGAUAACCUGCACGAGGACUUUCCUUUAGGCUAGCGCCUCUGUUAUUGUUGCUGUGAUGACAUGACUUAACUGUCUUUAUUGGUAAACUACAAAUAUCGGUUUGGGACAUUUUGGGGACCCCGUCACUUUGGUAAUUGCAUUUCUAGAAGUCUGAAAAUAGGAAAAACUAUCAAUUUUUGUUCCUAACAUCGGCAUAGAAGAGGACAAAAUCAAUAUAGGCUACCUGAAACGAUCAGUAGAAACAACCUGGAGCUAUACCUUUGGGUUCCAUUUGUUCAGUUAACUACCACUGACGGGAAAUUUGCAACUGCCUUUCAACUGCUCUAAAAAAUUAUGGAUCGGAUGAACUCUUUCUUUGUUGUGCAAUUCGAUUAACCAAGCAUACAAGUGAGGCACUCUUUCUCAAGCAGUCAAAUCAGUUCUAAGCUAUUAGGAGUAGUAACUUAGGCAUCUUUGUUCAGUCAACAAGAAAAUUUAUAAGCUAAUAAGUAGCUCUCAGACUAGAUUGACACCCACUGUCCUAUCUUAUAUUUACCAAUUGUUGUCUUGUCUGUUCAUGAUCUAUCUGAAGACUGGGACUAAACUUGUGAAUUCUGUAGGAAAAUCUCAAAUCAAACGAUAAUGUUAUUUCUCGGUUACCACUACUACAUGGUAAAACAAAGGUAAUGUCAAUACAUGGCUAUAUCAUUGCUUGUCACUUGGAACUAUAAUAAUAGCAUUUCAGUUUGUAGAGAGUCCAAUGUGGUGGACCUGUUGAAGCACCUCUAUGCAACGUGAUAUGUCUGAGGAUAAUAUUUUACUUCUUUCACUCGAACAGGUUAUAAGUUCUCUUAGUCAUGUGGAAAACAUAAAAUAUACAAUAAUUACUUGCUUAACAUGCCGUGCUUCCAAACCAGGAUGGCGAGCACGAUAAUGUCAAUGAAACAAGACCGUUUUAUUUAUUCUGUGCUUGAGGUAAUAUUUGCAUGCUUUUGAGUUUUGAAGUUGAAGCUUUCUAUAGCUCCAGGAAAUGAAUACCAUUUCAUCGCAUGUACUAUUAUUUUCUCUUUGUAGGUGAGGAAACGACUAAUCAGACAGGCAAAUCUAUUGCAAGACUAGACCAACAGGAGACUACCUAAAAAAGAAGGCGUACUUCACUGAAGAUUCAUAAGAAGCAUGAUUGAGUUGCAGCUGAAGUCUCCGGUUGGAUCAAGAAUCAAAUAUUUUGAAGUGUCUUCUUAGCAAUAAUUAGUUUACAUAUAUUGAUAUAUUGGAGAAUGUAAUAUUAUUCACAAGAUAUUUUUCUUUCAUUGAACAAUCAAAAUACUAUGGUGUAAUAUUCUUCACAACCGUGUUUUCUUUAGUCCAAUGUGAUGUUCUUGCACAAAUUGUAUUGGUAUUAAUUUACUGUAAUGCACAUGUAUGAUACGCACAUGUGUAUUCAUACUAAAUAUCUUGAUAUUUUCAAUUUAUGA
This is a long non-coding RNA of Lolium perenne, 1871 nucleotides long. RefSeq lists it as uncharacterized. NCBI's taxonomy places the organism in Eukaryota, Viridiplantae, Streptophyta, Magnoliopsida, Poales, Poaceae. The record is from RefSeq and is a predicted model, not a curated record.